UCGGUGCCUUUUGGACCAAAGAAAGUGGCUGCAGUGAUGCUGGGCUGGUUUCUGAGCCGAGCCUAGGCUUUCGAAACUGUUAUCUUCAACUUCUUGUCCUUGUCUCUUGCUUUUGGAACUCUGAGCAUCCAUAUGGGAAGUCCGACUACUAUAAAGCCACAGUGCCCAUGGGACCAUAUGAGGGGACACAUUCAGAGGUCUGAGACUCCCUGCAGAGUCCCCAUCCACCCUAUCCUUCAGACGUUCAAGUCAUUCCAUAUAGGUUCCAGACACUGGGAGCAAAGUGGUUUCCCUAGAGAUGACAGCAUGCAUCCUUGACAUAUCAUUAUUCAAUUCUACCUUAAAUUAGAAGAUUUUUCAUUUCGUGGACAAUGACACCUUGCCUUUCUCCAGAACCAAAGAGCCAAGUGCUGGGCCAGUGACACCGCUGUUGACCCCCCACCCCCACCCCGUGUGUGCAGAGAACCUCAUCUGUUCCCUCCUAGAAUGGAUGCAACAGGCUCUCCGUGUUACUGGCCAUAGUCCUCGAUGGGGUUAGGGAAAUGAUCUGGGCCUGCAUCGAUGCCUACAUCUCCCCAUUUCCCCCAAGGAUGAGUGUGUGCACGUGUGUGUGCACAUGUGUGUGCAUGUGUGUGUGUGUGCAUGUGUGUACACUAACACAGGCACCUGAGCUAAGGGAGGGGAAGCACUGCAGGUAGCCUCUGUCCUCCCUCUGUCCCUGCCCACAUC
Neofelis nebulosa (Clouded leopard) is the source of this 729-nucleotide long non-coding RNA. RefSeq lists it as uncharacterized. The transcript has 3 exons. The record is from RefSeq and is a predicted model, not a curated record. Lineage: Eukaryota; Metazoa; Chordata; Mammalia; Carnivora; Felidae.